RNAcentral lists this ribosomal RNA (281 nucleotides) under Pseudo-nitzschia fraudulenta. RNAcentral's name for it is "partial 28S ribosomal RNA". It matches the Rfam family "Eukaryotic large subunit ribosomal RNA", at positions 186 to 475 of the family's 3401-position model. Lineage: Eukaryota; Bacillariophyta; Bacillariophyceae; Bacillariales; Bacillariaceae. The record is from RNAcentral.
UUCCUUGGAAAAGGACAGCUGAGAGGGUGAAACUCCCGUCCGCCUGGUAAAACGAGUCUUUGUCAACGAGUCGAGUUGUUUGGGAUUGCAGCUCUAAUUUGGUGGUAAAUUCCAUCUAAAGCUAAAUAUUGGUGGGAGACCGAUAGCGUACAAGUACCGUGAGGGAAAGAUGCAAAGAACUUUGAAAAGAGAGUUAAAGAGUACCUGAAAUUGCUGAAACGGAAGCGAAGGAAACCAGUGUUUGUUGGUUCAUAUUUCCUUGGCCACUUGUGGUUUGGGCG